Molecule: microRNA precursor, 251 nt
Filed under: Glycine max (soybean)
Lineage: Eukaryota; Viridiplantae; Streptophyta; Magnoliopsida; Fabales; Fabaceae
Description: miR6300 stem-loop (gma-MIR6300)
Source: miRBase by way of RNAcentral
AGGUAAAAAUACUUACCACUAUAUUACAACAACUUGUUUGUGAAAUUCAAUGGUAAUUUUAAAUAAUAAAUGUUUUAAUAUUACCGAUAGCAUUUGAUUAUAUUUUUGUUUUAAAGUUACAUUUGAUUAUAUCGCUAUCGGCUAUAAUGUAAGUCAUAUUCAUCCAAUAUCAUGCAACUUUUUUGUAUAGAUAUAUUAAUAUUACUCGAUAAUCAUCAAGUCGUUGUAGUAUAGUGGUAAGUAUUCCCGCC